Molecule: long non-coding RNA, 315 nt
Organism: Coturnix japonica (Japanese quail)
Lineage: Eukaryota; Metazoa; Chordata; Aves; Galliformes; Phasianidae
Source: Ensembl
CAAAAGUACUUUUUAAAUCUUUAUUUUAAAUUUCUUCUUACUGACACAACAUUUCCAAUGUCUUAGCAUUAAGAAACGUGGCACUGUGAAGGAAUGAUGAGUGGCAGUAUAUAAGGGCUGGAAGUAAGGGGCUGAAGUUUCAUGUGGAUUUGUGUCUUGUGGCUGAGUCCUGCUUCUGUAGAUUUUCUCCUUAAAGGGUCUUAAUGAUGAAUAAGUUUUACAGGCUCUGCUACAGGAAAGGGAGCAAUUAUACAGCUCUCUUCAUUCCUGAGGCUUCCUGAGGCUUCCUGAGUUCCUCUCAUGAUUGUGAAGGUG